Molecule: non-coding RNA, 23 nt
Filed under: Arabidopsis thaliana (thale cress)
Lineage: Eukaryota; Viridiplantae; Streptophyta; Magnoliopsida; Brassicales; Brassicaceae
Source: RNAcentral
AACGGAAUUAGAUGGUAAGACGG